GUGCCAGCAGCCGCGGUAAUACGAAGGGGGCUAGCGUUGCUCGGAAUGACUGGGCGUAAAGGGCGCGUAGGCUGUUUAUACAGUCAGAUGUGAAAUCCCCGGGCUUAACCUGGGAACUGCAUUUGAUACGUAUGGACUAGAGUCCGAGAGAGGGUUGUGGAAUUCCCAGUGUAGAGGUGAAAUUCGUAGAUAUUGGGAAGAACACCGGUUGCGAAGGCGGCAACCUGGCUCGGAACUGACGCUGAGGCGCGAAAGCGUGGGGAGCGAACAGGAUUAGAUACCCUGGUAGUCCACGCUGUAAACGAUGUGUGCUGGAUGUUGGGUGAUUUAAUCAUUCAGUGUCGGAGCUAACGCGUUAAGCACACCGCCUGGGGAGUACGGCCGCAAGGUUGAAACUCAAAGGAAUUGACGGGGGCCCGCACAAGCGGUGGAGCAUGUGGUUUAA
This 445-nucleotide ribosomal RNA is filed under the name uncultured bacterium. RNAcentral's name for it is "bacterial SSU rRNA". It matches the Rfam family "Bacterial small subunit ribosomal RNA", at positions 505 to 949 of the family's 1533-position model. The record is from RNAcentral.